AAUUUAUCAUUUUGUCGACAAAAGGCCACCUAAAAAUUACUUGGCCCUUAACAACAUCACUUUACCCGUUUGAUGAAAGUUGUCUGAGAAAGAGAAGAACUAGUAAUAUUCUAUCAUGAACUGGUCAAGACCCGCUAGCAUCAUCAGCAGAAGAUGGAAGGGUCCAUGGGGGCUAAAACACACUCUUCAGGCAGUGGCAUUAGCACUUUCUCUAGUACUUGCAUUCUCAGUUUUUAUGGUGAGAGAUCGUAGGAAGAUUCUUGAUCGCUCAAAUGGUUGCCCUUUCUCUGCCAUAUUCAACUUCGGCGAUUCGAAUUCUGAUACUGGCAGCAAAUCCGCAGCGUUUCAUCGACUUCCUUAUCCUAAUGGCUACUCUUUCUUCAAUAAGCCAUCUGGGCGCUACUGUGAUGGGCGUGACAUCAUUGAUUUCAUCGCUGAGAAGUUGGAAUUACCGUACUUGGAUGCUUACUUAGAUUCUAUUGGGACAAAUUUUCAGCAUGGUGCAAAUUUUGCUAUUGGAGGCUCUACAAUACAGCCAGUGGAUGGUAGAAUAUUUGAGGGUGGUUUUAGCCCCAUUUCUCUUGACAUACAACUUUUGCAGUUUGAACAAUUCAAGGAACGAACUCUUGAGCUAUACAAUGAAAGUAGGAUAAAUUGUUGGAUGAAAAAAUAGAAACUCAAUUAACAUUUCUUUUUUUCUUGAAUUUCUAAUCCUAUUAUUAAGCUUAUUGUUAUCAGUUUGUGGAUUCUUUUUGCUCAGGUAGAAGCUCUUACAUCAUGAGUAGGCUCCCAAGACCCGAGGAUUUCUCCAAGGCACUAUACACAUUAGAUAUAGGACAGAAUGAUCUUCAUGCUUGGAUUAAGUCGAUGACUGAGAAGCAAAUGCUGGAAUCUAUACCCAGUAUCAUUACUCAGUUUGCUCAUGCAGUGGAGAAACUGUAUCAACUGGGAGCAAGAAUAUUUUGGAUACACAAUACUGGUCCUAUUGGUUGCUUACCUUAUGAUGUUAUAUAUUAUCCUCCAAAGCCUGGGGAUAAGGGCCAAAAUGGUUGUGUGAAGUCCCACAAUGAAAUUGCCCAAGAAUUUAACAGACAGCUGAAAGAUAAGGUGUCCCAGCUUAGAAAGCAACUCCCCGAUGCAGUACUUACUUGUACUGAUAUCUAUACAGCUAAGUAUUCAUUAAUUUCUGAAGCAAAGAAACAGGGUUUUGCUGAUCCACUUGGAUAUUGCUGUGGAUAUUAUGGGGAUUACCGUGUUCCAUGUGGGAAAAAUUCAAUGGUGAAUGGGACAGAAAUUUCUGGGGAUCCAUGCAGCAACCCUGAACUCUAUAUUAGUUGGGAUGGCAUACAUUAUUCUCAGGCUGCAAAUCAGAUCAUAGCUAACAGGAUUCUGGAUGGCUUCUUGUCAGACCCUGCAACUCCCAUCAUUGAAGCAUGUCACAAGCCUGUUCCUUUGUCAAAAUGAGCAUUGAUCAUAACUUUCAUACAAUUUGAAACUAGCAUUAACUAUUCCUUUGUUUUGAGUGUAAUCAUUCUCAUGAAUUCUUGUUUCUUACUUUUUUUAUUUGAUUCAACUUCAGGUUUUUCUUUGGUAAAUAUUCAACAACUCGAAUGUUCAUGUUGUAAAGAAAUGGAUCAAUUUUGGCUUAUUUUACUGCAACUGUUGAACUUUUUGUAGAUCAGAACUUCAGAAGCAGCAAGGUUGAACAGGAGCCGAGAAACUUAUGUUUGUGACUCUGCUCUUAAGCUUGUCUCAACAAUUAUAGCCAUUUUUAUUGUACUAUUUUUGUGCUGAAAAUGAACCGUUAAGGUGAUACAGACAAAUCUUUGUGUGCUGGGUGAGGGGUGUCUCCUCAUCCCUUGGCUUUGUAGCUGACAAAGAUGGAAAGCUAUUUUAGACAGGCGGCUAGUCAAACGUUGUAAUGCAACCGUGACUCAACUUUUAAUCCAUUGGCAAGGUUCCUCCCCUGCUGAUGCUACUUGGGAAUAUGCUGAUGAGAUACAGUUGUGCUUUCCUUUCUUUUCCUUGGGGACAAGGAUUCCUGGGAAGGGGAUUAUUGUUACAGACGAAACGGUACGUGUAGAGGAAUGAUGUUGGCGGGAGAAUAAUGGUUUCAAAACCAAUAAGAGAAGUUGAUAGGUUGAUGGAUAACAGAAUAGCAGAGCUGUUGUGUUGAGCUGGAAUUCGUUGUAACUAAUUGGGAAUCUGUUGUAAGUCCAUAUGAUAAAUAACUGUAAUUGUGAAAAUGUUGAGUGUGGAAUAAGAUCUUGAGAAUUCUCUCUCUCUUCAGUUUCUCUCUCUCGCCUCUAGUCUUUCUUCUCUCUAAUCUCUAGCUUUCUUUCUGUAAUUCUACUGGAUUCUAUCAACUUUUCAGGGGAUUGUUACCAAAUCUGGAUAUAGCCAAA
Molecule: unclassified non-coding RNA, 2405 nt
Filed under: Hevea brasiliensis (rubber tree)
Lineage: Eukaryota; Viridiplantae; Streptophyta; Magnoliopsida; Malpighiales; Euphorbiaceae
Source: RNAcentral